GAUGAACGCUAGCGGCAGGCUUAACACAUGCAAGUCGAGGGGCAUCGAGAGUAGCAAUACUUGUCGGCGACCGGCGCAAGGGUGCGUAACACGUGAGCAACAUACCCGUUUCAGGAGGAUAACCGGAGGAAACUCUGCCUAAUACUCCAUGACAUCAUCAAACGGCAUCGUUUGAUGAUUAAAGAUUUAUCGGAAACGGCUUGGCUCGCGGGACAUUAGCUUGUUGGUGAGGUAACGGCUCACCAAGGCUACGAUGUCUAGGGGUUCUGAGAGGAAGGUCCCCCACACUGGAACUGAGACACGGUCCAGACUCCUACGGGAGGCAGCAGUGAGGAAUAUUGGACAAUGGUCGGAAGACUGAUCCAGCCAUGCCGCGUGAAGGUUACUGUCCUAUGGAUAUUAAACUUCUUUUGAUGAGAGCAAAUAAGGUGCACGCGUGCACCGAUGAGAGUAUCAUACGAAUAAGCAUCGGCUAAC
RNAcentral lists this ribosomal RNA (477 nucleotides) under uncultured bacterium. Its description in RNAcentral is "bacterial SSU rRNA". It matches the Rfam family "Bacterial small subunit ribosomal RNA", at positions 28 to 501 of the family's 1533-position model. The record is from RNAcentral.